UCACCCUUCUCCUGGGCCCCCGCGUCGUCCACCCCUGGCGACUUGAGGGGUGAAGACCUAGCAGCGCCACUUUCUCCUCCCCUUCCCUCCCCUGACCCACCGCCGCCGGAGGCGUCGGCCGACGAAGCUUGUCUGUCUCCGGGGAUGGAAACGGCGGGGCGUCUUUCUACCUGGCGGGAAGCGGCGGGGUUGCUUCUCCGGCUAGCGCGUGUGGAGGUGGUGGCGGCGACGCAUGUUGCUCCGGCAUGGUGCCAUGCGGCGCACGGCCGUGCUCGAGGCCGUGGUGCACAACGCUGGUGUGAGCGCUGUUGGCCACUGGAUGGGGCGGAGGUCCCCCGCGUGGUCUGCUGGAUCUCGCGCCGGCGGGGCGGUUGCCGUGGUGGAGAGCAUGGGGCGCCGGCACGACUGUGCUAGGGGCUGUGGCAUGCUGCACUGGUGUGCGCGGGGUUGGUAGCUGACUUGGGCAGCGGCCUCCCGAGUGGCCUGCUGGUGCUAGUCUCCAUGUCAGGCAGGCGGGCUGCAGAUGUUUCGUCUCCUGUCGGUCCUCUUGAUGUGCUCCGGCCAGAUGCCGUGCUGGGGGUGUGGCUGUUAUUCCUCUUCCUUAUGCGGCAGCGCCGGCGAAAGGACGACGUGGUGCUGGACAGACUCCCUUCCCCUUCCUCCUCUGUGGAUAUUUCUUUCCUUUCUUCCUUACUGAUUUCAACAGUUUUCAUGGGUGCGCUUAUACUAAACAAAAUUAACAUUGUGGGUGUGCCGCUGGCUGUUGGUAUUGAUAAAAGAAACUGAUGCUCAUAUAUGUGCGGGGACAUAGUUUGUUGAGUAAGAUCAGCUAAUUCUUCCAACGCUGUCUACCUCAUAAAAGAAGUGGUGAGCUUUUCCUUCC
This is a long non-coding RNA of Triticum dicoccoides, 883 nucleotides long. RefSeq lists it as uncharacterized. Lineage: Eukaryota; Viridiplantae; Streptophyta; Magnoliopsida; Poales; Poaceae. The record is from RefSeq and is a predicted model, not a curated record. The transcript has 2 exons.